Molecule: ribosomal RNA, 292 nt
Filed under: uncultured bacterium
Lineage: Bacteria
Description: partial 16S ribosomal RNA
Rfam family: Bacterial small subunit ribosomal RNA
Source: RNAcentral
GUGCCAGCCGCCGCGGUAAUACAGAGGUCUCAAGCGUUGUUCGGAUUCAUUGGGCGUAAAGGGCGCGUAGGCGGCGGGGUAAGUCGGGUGUGAAAUCUCAGAGCUCAACUCUGAAACUGCACUCGAUACUGCUCUGCUUGAGGACUGGAGAGGAGACUGGAAUUCACGGUGUAGCAGUGAAAUGCGUAGAUAUCGUGAGGAAGACCAGUGGCGAAGGCGGGUCUCUGGACAGUUCCUGACGCUGAGGCGCGAAGGCCAGGGGAGCAAACGGGAUUAGAAACCCGCGUAGUCC